Molecule: transfer RNA, 73 nt
Filed under: Turneriella parva DSM 21527
Lineage: Bacteria; Pseudomonadati; Spirochaetota; Leptospiria; Leptospirales; Leptospiraceae
Also listed under: 1 other name
Description: tRNA-Thr (GGT) (tRNA-Thr-GGT-1-1)
Rfam family: tRNA
About the family: Transfer RNA (tRNA) molecules are approximately 80 nucleotides in length. Their secondary structure includes four short double-helical elements and three loops (D, anti-codon, and T loops).
Source: Rfam by way of RNAcentral
GCCCACAUAGCUCAGUCGGUAGAGCGUUUCCAUGGUAAGGAAGAGGUCACCGGUUCGAUUCCGGUUGUGGGCU